GCGAUCAUACUAGCACUAAUGCACUGGAUGGCAUAAGAACUUCGUAGUUAAGCGUGUUUGGGUGAGAGUAGUACUAGGAUGGGUGACCCCUGGGAAACCCUUGUGUUGCACCCU
Molecule: non-coding RNA, 114 nt
Organism: Ilex paraguariensis (yerba mate)
Lineage: Eukaryota; Viridiplantae; Streptophyta; Magnoliopsida; Aquifoliales; Aquifoliaceae
Source: the annotation of a GenBank genome assembly